UCCGUCAAACCUCAAAAUCUUCCCAAAGACUUAUCAUUGAAUUAUGAAUCGAUAUUAACAUACAGCAAAGCGAGGUGGUGAAAUUAUCCAUUCUUGAAGCUGCUCGAUCUGGGGGUUAACCCACCUCAAAUUCCACUACUGACGAGGAAACUUCUUCAACCCAAAAGGUACUUUCUGAUCUCUAAAACCCCUCUUUUGCAAGACGGUGUGCUACUAUGUCGCUAUUUCUUUGAACAUACUAAAAUCCACAUCAUGAAAAUAUAUUAGAAAUGAUUUAGCAUCCCAAAUAUAAUCACUGACCAAUGAGCUGCCUUCUUCUAUUGAGGUGAAUUUGUUGAUGGUCGACAAUGAAUCUUCCAUUUUGACAAAUUUGAAAUCCAUUUCUACCAUAAACUGAAUCACAUGAAGGCUAAUUUGGGCUUUAACUGCAAAUGAAUCAAGUAAAUUUUUAUUUAAAUGACUGCAUUCUUCCAUUACUUACUCAUCAUUAUUUCUAAUAAUCACCCGUGUACUCCAUUCUUUAGACCAAAAAGGAUAAAUAAAUCUUAAUGGAAAAACAAUUUCAUUUAAUAUUAUAUGUACAGAAAAUGAAGGUUUUUAAUAAUCAAAUCAAUAAUCUAAUUAUUCAUACUAUUAGUUCAUGAAUCAACUGAUGAUCCAACAAUAAUUAAAUAAAUAAUUAAAAAUUCAUAAAAUCAGUUCAACAAUUAAUUUUUUGUUUUGAUAUUUUAUUAGUUACAAAUAGUUUACUUAGAGGCUAAUUCAACUACUAUAUCGCAAUCGAUAUAUUAAUAAAUUCUCAAUCCAAUCAAUCUAACAUAUUAAUUCGAUUCAGUUCAAAUAACACAGAGACCAACUUAAACUACACUUACCUAAAAUAAUUUUUAAAAAAAUUGAUCGCAAUUUAGUUAUCAAAAAUUAAUCUAAUAUCAUAUUUACUUCACUCUAUAAUUAAAAGUCACUGAGAAAAAAAAUUCAGAAGUAAAAUUAAGAUACUGACAUGUAUCCUUUACACAUAUUUAAAAUUAAAAAAAAAUAAUUAAAUUAGAUACAUGUGAUCAUCCCAAUCCAAUUUGAGAAAUUUUUUCUUUUCCAUUGACCGUAUACAUGAUAAUAAUUUAUUUUAAUAUUCGUCUGUUAUUAUUUUUAUGUUUUUGUUAUAAGUAUUAUUAUUUUUAAUUAAAUUUCAUGAGUUGCAUUAAUCGUAUGUAAUUUUAUAUGCAAUUUAUUUUUAUAUUCGUAUGAUGCACAAAUUGAUUAUGUAUAUUUAUUUUAGUAUGCUAUAUUUUAUAGAAAAAAUUUCAUUGUUUAAAAAUUAGAACCAUUUUUAAAAUGAAAAACAAUUAAUAUAAUUUUGUAGAAAAAUGUAACAAAAUUAAAAAAUUAUUAAAAAUCCAAAAACUAAUAACAAUAAAAGUCAAAAUAGGAUGUUUUUGUUCCCAGGAAACGUAUGGAUAUACAGUUUUCAAUGUAGCAAAAAUUAAUUCUUUCUUUUUUAUUUUAAAUAACAGUUUUAGAAAAUAAGUAAUUUUUCUUUUAUAAGUUAAUGUCAUUUUAGGGUUUGAUGGGUUAUUUUUAACUUGAAUUAUUAAGUUUUGAAAGGCGAAUAUGUGGUUUAAAUAUAUAAAAAAUCUUUAUAUUUAAAAGAUGUUUUUAUAAGAAUUAAAAAAGAUAUUGUUAUAUCUUAUUGUUGCAUUCAAUUAUAUUAUUUUGUGAUUUUUGUUGAUGUUUUAGUUUUAAAUUUUAAAUAUAAUUUAAUGCACCUUCAAAAAAAUAUAAUUUAAUGCAUGAUGUUUUUGAGAAUGUAUGCUGAAAUUUUAUUCAAUAAGUUUAAACGAUGGCGCCAAAACAAAACAAACAUAAAAAUUGGGCCAAGACAAAACCCAAACACCAGCCAAAUAUCGAAGAUUGCUUAAUGUCACGGGCCGCCCCGUGACAUUUGAAGCAUCUAAGCCUCAGCCAGGGAAAUUAAUACAUUAAAUCUCCUGAAAAGCAACGGAUGAUUUUAAAGCCCAUCGGUAAUGUUUCAUUUCCUUUCCCAACAACUUUAACCCACCCAACUUCUCUUUCUACUCUCUUACCCAGACUCUUCCCCUACCCUAUCUCACCAAAAAUUGAAUAGAGAGAAAUCAGAAACCCUCUCCCAUUCGAUCCCUUUCCACUUCCUCUCUUGUAAAUAUAGGAACCCCAUCUUGCAGACAACAUUGAUCCCAUCUCUUUAGGCUUUCAGUAGCCAACAAGUGAGCAAUGCUAUUCAUCGAUCUAUGGAUGUAUUUGAACUUACAGGUAUGAAAUAUUUUGCUUAACCAUUUCCCAUCUCUAAUGUAAGCCCCAAUUUCGAAUUUGCCAUAAUCUUCUCUCCGUAGUUUUUUGAUAAUAGAGAGGGAAUCACCUUCAAUUUCAACCUUCAUAAGCCCUAGAUCCAGGCCCAGAUGAACACUUUUAAUGUAUGCAAGUGCUUCUGCAGUAAACACAGAGGGUAUAUUUUUAUUUAUCACAACUUUAGAACACAAUGCUCCAUGCUCAACCAAUGCACAAAUAUUUGUAAGGUACAUUUUCAUUUAUCACAACUUUAGAACACAAUGCUCCAUGCUCAACCAAUGCACAAAUAUUUAUAAAUUAAUCCAAAACAACACCAAUAAAAAUCUCAAAUCGAAAAUAAUUCACUCUAAUGGAAGUAUGAGAAAAGCAUUUAAACACAACAAAUAAUUCAGAGAUUUUCUAAUAAUUAUAUAAACAACCUCUCCACAAAUGUACAAAAAAAUACAAGAACAAAAUAAACAUAAUAUCAUAAGAGAGGGAGAAAACUGAAACUGCCCUAAAUAUGGAUUAAAUCGCCAGAAUAGUGAAACCUGAAAUUGUAGGCAAAACUAAAUGUAGUGCAUGGUGCCAAAAAAACUAAUUAGAAAAUAAACACAAAUAAUGAAUAAGAUUAAGAGGUUACAAAAUCAAAUAAAAACAAGGGCGAUGAAGUAGGUAAGAUUGAAGGUGUGCCCUGUCGCCAUGCUCCAAAGGAAGUAAGCGUCGAAUGUACCAACGACCUCGGUGCUCUCCCUCUGACCAGUCAACGUGUGGGCUAAGAUGGCAUGGAUAUACGUAAAGCCGGAGGUAGUGAAGUCGCAUUCGACCGACUCUGGUCAUAGGGUGUUGUACUGGUAGUCAGCUCUGUUCAGCAUAAAGAUGGUGAGUAAUGGAUGUGCGGGUAUAAAGUGAGGAACCCUUCGGCACUCAUGAACUCCUUAGUAUAGAGUCUUAAAGUAAUUCCGAAUUCUAGGAUGCUCAUAUGAUGCGUUGUACCGACGAGUUGAAAAGUAAUAGUGCAUGGCUCAUCGUGGAUCAACAUCACGUGCUGUAAGAGGAAUGUCGAACAAAACUCGAGGGUAAGAUCCGAGUAGGUGGGCUCAAUGAUGGAGAAGAACCGGUUCCAAGGAGUUGUAACAAUCAGUGCAUGGACUCGAUCAACUAAUUGAAUCUGCUCUAAGGCCGUUCAAUCAAUAGAACGACUUAAUCCUAGUGGCCGCUGUUUGAGAUGCUGAUAUAGAUCCUCUUGGGGACCCUGUAAAAAUCGGAGACAUGGAUGGCGUGUAUCGGUGGAAGCGCUCGAUGUUGAGGUCGCGCCCAGAGUCUUUUGCUUUUUUGAAGUGGAAAUAGCGAGUCAUGAUGCACCUGAAAAAUAGAUAACCAAACAACUAUUUUAGCAUUCAACGUAAAAGCACGAAUCGACAUAAUAGAACAGUUCAAAUAACAACAGAAUGAAAGUUGAAUCCAACUAAAAUCCAGAAUCACAAGAUCGAACAUUCAGCUAAAAAUAUUUGAAUCCAAAAUUCGUGUAAAAGUAGCAUCAAGAAUAUAAAAAUAAUAAAUAAAUAAGAAUAAUAGUAGAAAACACAAUUCUAAAAGAAGAGUAACAAUGAUCACAACUUCCUAAAAAUUAAUACCACUUAAAAGCAUAACAAGAAUAAAACUCAGUUUUAAUAAUUAAAAUUAUGAAUGAAAAUAAUAAAAACAAUAUGAAAAGGAACCAAAAGAAAAUAAAUAAAACGAUAACUAAAAUCACAAUAAAAAGGAAAUAAAAAAUUACUAAAACAAAUAAUAAUAAGAAUACUAGUAAAAAUAAUAAAAGAAAGAAAAAGAAAAAGAAAAAUAAAUAAAUAAAUAAAAUAAGUGAAUUGGCAAACGAUGGUGGUAGGGGGCGCAUGCGACGGUUAAUGGGGAUGGUAGUGGUCGACGGUGAAAGGACAAUGAUGGGGACGUGCGGGGCGGGGGAUAGACUUGGCGAGAGGUGGAUAAGGGUGGCGGUUUGUCGUCGAGGGAGAGAAAGGAAGGGGGAAAGGAUGGAGGGGUGAUGGGCGGUGGCUUGGGUGUGUUUUUUCGAAGGAAGAAGGGAGAUGGGGGCUCGUGGUAGACGGUGGAAAAAAGGGAAAAGAAAUGGGAAAAAGAAGAGGGAGGGAUGAAUGAGAAAGAAUGAGGGAAAAGUAAGGGGGAAAAGAAAAGAGGGGAGGGGAUCGCUGUAGUAUUGUGAGGGGGAAUGGAGGGGAAGCCAUGGAUGGUGAUCGGACUGGUAAAGGGACGACGACGACUGGUCUUUGUAAGGAGUGGCGGCUAGGGUUUGUUUUUAAAAGGUUGGGAGGAAGAAGACAAAACAAAAGAAUGGGGGAAUUAGGGUUUUAAAAGGGGACUCGAUCGUGUUUAGGCUCUUGUUGGACUAUACAGCCGUGUCAUAAGCCCGUGUGGGGCUUUUUUAGCCCUUGAGCAAUUCAAAAUUUAAGCCCAAUUUUCACACGGCCUCGGACACACCCGUGUGUCCAGGCCGUGUGUGAUCUUUCUUCACUUCUCCCAUGCUCAUGUGCGAGGCUGCGUGAAGCACACGGUGUUUCACAUGCUAUUGUGACAGGCCGUGUUUCACACACGACCGUGUCUAAGGCCCGUGUAACUCAUUAAAUUGUAAAUAAAUUUAAAAAUUAACUCCAGUAUUCACAUGGCUGUGGACACGCCUGUAUGUCCAGGCCGUGUAACUCACUGUAGAAUACCCUGUCGUGCACGCGGCUUGGGAUAUGCCCGUGUGGGUCAAUUUUUUUUAAAAAGUAAUUAAUUUAAUUUUAAAUUAACGUGUAAUAAAAUUAAAAGAAUUAACAAAUUUUAAACACUCGGGUUGCCUCCCAAAAAGUACUUAUUUAGAGUCUAAGCUCGACUCUACUUUGUACACGCACGGUUACGGUAGUUUUCGGAGCUGAAACUCCUCUUUCUUGUUAUCAAUUUUACUACCGAGAUAAGGUUUGAUCAAGUAUUGUUUACCUUAAAUGUGCCGAACUUAGAAUGUGUUACCUCGACUGUACUGUAGGCGAAGACAUUCAGUACCAUGAAUGAGUUCGAUCCGUUUGGCUUAAGCUCUGAAGGGGAAAUUAAUGGAUCCGAUUUGUCUAGCAGUACUUUGUCUCUAACCUUAAUUUGGUUUGUUCUCAUCACAUACUCAUCAUGGCGUCGCUUUGUGUCUCUAUCAUGUUUUUUCGAUUUCUCCUCAGCAUGCACUUGCCGUUCAUCUAGUUCACCGAGUUGUACCAUUCGCUCUUCAAAUGUUGUUCUGUUUCUAUUACAUUGACUGAAACAUGGCUCCAGCAUGUUUUCCCGAGGAGUUUCUUAUAGGGAAGGUUGAGCCACGUCAUUACUAACAUUAACAGAACAUUUAAUCUCAUCUCGCUCACUAGAGACUCUCACAAAAUUGCCUGCUUGGAGAAUAAUCUUAUCGUCACCUACACGAAGCAUAAGUUCACCUAUACCAACAUUGAUAAUAGUCCUAGCAGUGACUAACAAGGGUCGACCUAAGAUCAAAGGUACCUCAUAUCCUCAUCCAUGCCUGACACAAUAAAGUCAAUACGGAAUAUGAAUUUAUCAAUUUUCACAAGUACAUCCUUAAUAAUACCCCUAAGAUAUCUGAUAGUUCUAUCCGCUAAUUGGAUACUCAUCCUAGUGUGUUUGGAUUUUCCAAGACCUAGCUGUUUAAAUAUUUUGUAAGGCAUGACAUUAAUACUGGCCCUUAAAUCAGCCAAAGCAUUAUCAAAUUUAAACUACCAAUGAGACAAGGAAUAGUAAAACUCCCUAGAUCUUUUAAUUUGUUAGGUAGUUUAUUUUGGAGAAUGGCCGAGCAAACUGCAUUGAGCUCUACAGUUGACGAGUCGUCUAACUUUCUCUUAUUUGUUAAUAGUUCCUUUAAGAAUUUAACGUAAUUUGACAUCUGCGAAAGAGCAUCAACAAAUGAUAAGUUAAUGUGUAAUUUUUUAAGAAGCUUAAGAAAGUUACGAUAUUACUCGUUUGUGUGGUAUCUCUUCAUCGUGUUAGGAUAUGACACUUGAGGUUUGUAUUCUUUGACAACCGACUUUUGCUCUUUCCUAUUUUCCUCAACCUCAUCAUUAUUCACCACAAUUUCUUACCUCGAUUCUUGUUCAGGUUCAACUAACCAUUCCAUGUCUCGAACAGUAAUUGCGUGAAGCUACUUUAUAACAUACCUAACCCAUAUCCAUCAGGUUACGGAGCAUUACUGGAGUUUACAGAUUAAGUACAAACAUUUCAUAUCAUUUCUUAUUUAUAUUAGAAAUAAAUUAUAAACAAUCAUAUUGUCCUUUAUAUGAACCCUUGAGGCCCAAAAUAUGUAAUAGAAAUAAAGCGGGACUAAUUCGGGUACUCAGAGAAUAUUUAAUAAAAUUUCAAAAAUUUUCCAAGGUGCAAGGUACAUACAUCCGUGUGUGCAUUCGAAAUAGGGCACAUGGCCGUGUCCCACCCGUGUUAGUACCCGUAUAACUCUCUGACUUGGGUCACAUUGCCAAGUCACACACCCGUGUGUAAGUGCAAGGGUCACACGGCCAAGCCACACGCCCUUGUGCAAGGCCGUGUGAUCAAUUCUAAGCAUUCUAUUUUGAAAAUUUAAAGAUGUAGGGGACAUAUGACCAAUUUACAUGUUUGUGGGCUAGGCCGUUUGUCACACACGGCUGAGACACACGCCCGUGUCUCUGUUCGUGUGGACGAAAUAAGACCAUUUCUAAGCUAUAUUUCUCACCCAAUUGUUCUUCCACUACAUAGCUAAUCCAAGACUUUUAAACCAAGCCAAAAAUCAAGUCUUAUACAUGACAUAUUACUUCAUAAAUCCAUAUAUCCAAACUUACCUAUUUGACCAAAAAUACAUUUAGACAUACUUAUGAAAUUUAAUAUUAAUUGUCCAUAUUUAACACUCAUAUCAAACAUGACAUUAUCUCAUAUAUAUAUAUGUCAAAACACAUUCAUCACAAGCCAUUCCAAUGGCUAAUUGUAACCAAAACACAUAUUUGUAAUCAAUGACCUAUUUUUACCUACACAUGCCAUUAUACCAAAAUCUAGUUCUUUAUAUAUACCAAAAUGAGCUAAAGGGUAGUGCGAUGAUGCUUCGAUUAGCUUCCAACCACUUCGAGCUUCUGAAUUACUAUAAAAUAGGAAAAAUAAUACAAGGUAAGCAUAUUAUGCUUAGUAAGUUCGUAUAACUGGGAAAUUAACUUACCAUUCAUUUACAUUUAAAAUAAGCAUACAAAAAUUCAUCCAAAGAAAUUUGGCAAUUUGCCGAAACACAUAUAAUUUUGAGAAACAUGUUAGUCAUGUAAUUUAUGAGAAUAUCAAGAAAUAAGGAUGAGCUCAUCAUGUAACAAAUUUUCAUGUACAUAUGUUUUCCACAUUAUAUAUUCAUAUAACAUAUACAUUUCCAUAAUAAUUUAUCUCAAAUUUAGAUUAUCUCAUGUCAAAACUUUUCCCGUUGAAUUUAUUAGAAAUUUUGAUGGAUACACAGGUAGUACACUUGAAGUGUACAAACUGUAAUCCAUCAAUUCAUAUUCGAGAGUGCUCCUUAG
Molecule: long non-coding RNA, 7868 nt
Filed under: Gossypium barbadense (sea-island cotton)
Lineage: Eukaryota; Viridiplantae; Streptophyta; Magnoliopsida; Malvales; Malvaceae
Description: long non-coding RNA (GBAR_LNC010184)
Source: RNAcentral